This is a non-coding RNA of Bos taurus (domestic cattle), 104 nucleotides long. NCBI's taxonomy places the organism in Eukaryota, Metazoa, Chordata, Mammalia, Artiodactyla, Bovidae. The record is from Rfam.
GUGCUCACUUUGGCGGCAUAGAUAUUAAAAACUGGAAUAAUACAGAGGUUAGCAUGGCUCCUGUGCAUGCAUGACAUGCAAAUUCUGAAGCAUUUCAUAUUUUU